RNAcentral lists this ribosomal RNA (301 nucleotides) under uncultured bacterium. Its description in RNAcentral is "partial 16S ribosomal RNA". It matches the Rfam family "Bacterial small subunit ribosomal RNA", at positions 509 to 807 of the family's 1533-position model. The record is from RNAcentral.
CAGUCGCCGCGGUAAUACGAAGGGGGCUAGCGUUGUUCGGAAUUACUGGGCGUAAAGCGCACGUAGGCGGAUAUUUAAGUCAGGGGUGAAAUCCCAGAGCUCAACUCUGGAACUGCCUUUGAUACUGGGUAUCUUGAGUAUGGAAGAGGUGAGUGGAAUUCCGAGUGUAGAGGUGAAAUUCGUAGAUAUUCGGAGGAACACCAGUGGCGAAGGCGGCUCACUGGUCCAUUACUGACGCUGAGGUGCGAAAGCGUGGGGAGCGAACAGGAUUAGAUACCCCCGUAGUCCCUGUCUCUUAUAC